Molecule: ribosomal RNA, 445 nt
Filed under: uncultured bacterium
Lineage: Bacteria
Description: partial 16S ribosomal RNA
Rfam family: Bacterial small subunit ribosomal RNA
Source: RNAcentral
GUGAGGAAUAUUGGUCAAUGGGCGAGAGCCUGAACCAGCCAAAUCGCGUGAAGGAUGAAGGUAUUAUGUAUUGUAAACUUCUUUUAUCGGGGAAUAAAGUGCACCACGUGUGGUGUUUUGUAUGUACCCGAAGAAUAAGGAUCGGCUAACUCCGUGCCAGCAGCCGCGGUAAUACGGAGGAUCCAAGCGUUAUCCGGAUUUAUUGGGUUUAAAGGGUGCGUAGGCGGACUGUCAAGUCAGCGAUGAAAGUCCAUGGCUCAACCAUGGAAUUGCCGUUGAAACUGUCGGUCUUGAGUGUAGAUGAGGUAGGCGGAAUUCGUAGUGUAGCGGUGAAAUGCUUAGAUAUUACGAAGAACUCCAAUUGUGUAGGCAGCUUACCAGGCUACAACUGACGCUGAGGCACGAAGGUGCGGGGAUCAAACAGGAUUAGAUACCCUAGUAGUCC